GAUGAACGCUGGCGGCGUGCCUAAUACAUGCAAGUCGAGCGAACAGACGAGGAGCUUGCUCCUUUGACGUUAGCGGCGGACGGGUGAGUAACACGUGGGUAACCUACCUAUAAGACUGGGAUAACUUCGGGAAACCGGAGCUAAGACCGGAUAAUAUUUCGAACCGCAUGGUUCGAUAGUGAAAGAUGGCUUUGCUAUCACUUAUAGAUGGACCUGCGCCGUAUUAGCUAGUUGGUAAGGUAACGGCUUACCAAGGCAACGAUACGUAGCCGACCUGAGAGGGUGAUCGGCCACACUGGAACUGAGCCACGGUCCAGACUCCUACGGGAGGCAGCAGUAGGGACUCUUCCGCAAUGGGCGAAAGCCUGACGGAGCAACGCCGCGUGAGUGAUGAAGGUCUUCGGAUCGUAAAACUCUGUUAUUAUGGAAGAACAAACGUGUAAGUAACUGUGCACGUCUUGACGGUACCUAAUCAGAAAGCCACGGCUAACUACGUG
RNAcentral lists this ribosomal RNA (497 nucleotides) under uncultured bacterium. Its description in RNAcentral is "partial 16S ribosomal RNA". It matches the Rfam family "Bacterial small subunit ribosomal RNA", at positions 28 to 507 of the family's 1533-position model. The record is from RNAcentral.